This 691-nucleotide ribosomal RNA is filed under the name Scolopterus sp. NZAC 03037765. RNAcentral describes it as "partial large subunit ribosomal RNA". It matches the Rfam family "Eukaryotic large subunit ribosomal RNA", at positions 602 to 1077 of the family's 3401-position model. The record is from RNAcentral. Lineage: Eukaryota; Metazoa; Arthropoda; Insecta; Coleoptera; Curculionidae.
UCGUCGUACGAACGGACCCGCGUGUCCCGGCUGACUCGCUCGACGGUAUACGAAAGGUUUAAGGCCGCUCUUGGAGCGUUCGGCUCGCGGCAAGCGCGCCAGUUGCGUCGGCGAUCGGACCUAGUGCCGAUUCUGACCUCUGGUGACUGUUGGCCGUGAAGUUCUCGAACAGACCUUAGGACCGAUCUGCGACGCUAUAGCUUUGGGUACUUUCAGGACCCGUCUUGAAACACGGACCAAGGAGUCUAGCAUGUGCGCGAGUCAUUGGGAAUCACUAAACCUAAAGGCGCAAUGAAAGUAAAGGUCUUCCUAGCGAAGACUGAGGGAAGACGAGCGGUUCACCCUUAAAAGUGGCCGCUCCGCACUCCCGGGGCGUCUCGUUCUCAUCGCGAGAAGAGGCGCACCAAGAGCGUACACGCUGGGACCCGAAAGAUGGUGAACUAUGCCUGGUCAGGACGAAGUCAGGGGAAACCCUGAUGGAGGUCCGUAGCGAUUCUGACGUGCAAAUCGAUCGUCGGAACUGGGUAUAGGGGCGAAAGACUAAUCGAACCAUCUAGUAGCUGGUUCCCUCCGAAGUUUCCCUCAGGAUAGCUGGCGCUCGUUGCGCACGAGUCUCAUCCGGUAAAGCGAAUGAUUAGAGGCAUUGGGGUCGAAACGACCUCAACCUAUUCUCAAACUUUAAAUGGGUGAG